RNAcentral lists this long non-coding RNA (831 nucleotides) under Sus scrofa (pig). Its description in RNAcentral is "lncRNA (ENSSSCG00060013790.1)". Lineage: Eukaryota; Metazoa; Chordata; Mammalia; Artiodactyla; Suidae. The record is from RNAcentral.
CCCGUCUCCAUGGGAACGAUCUGAGCGUCUACUCCGCGUCCUGGGGCGUCGGUUUCGGUCCCGCCCGGCUGCGGCCGUUGUUUGCUGGGACAGUCCUUGGGCCGGUCUCCGUCCCUGUCCAGAGGCUCCGUACGUGAGGCGGACUCUCGGGAGCACCGAGCCGGGCGCGGAUAAGGGCGAGGACAGCUGUUGCAGGAACGGGGGCAGAAAAGGAGGACCAGGGGCCGAGAAGCCGCUCUGGCUACGAAAUCUCAGACACCGUUGUAAAUGGGUCCUUCACAGCCGCCCGCCCCACGUUAAAACUGAAGAAGAGGUGCAAGGAGGCGGAAGCAGCUUGGGCCUCGGGACCGAGGGUCCUGUGAUCAGCAAGGGAGGACCAGAGAGGCUCAUGCCUCCGUUUUACAGCUCAGCCUUCUCGACCCUCCACCCUUCCCCAAAAAAGGAGCACAAAGGAGCAAGCAGGGGUCACGCCUUUCCUCACAGUCUGACCCGGUUACGUGAGGCAGCCCGAGGUAACCAGAUCCACGUCUACGAAGAGGAGAAAUAGAACCUACCGUGGCGGGUUGUUAAGAAGAUUCGCUAAGUUCAUUCAUUUGAAAAACUCAUCACAGAGCUUGACAAACAGGCCUAACCAUUGGCUGCGAUUAUGUUAUCAUCACAGGGAGCAAGAACCUUGGCCGCCGUCUCGGUUUCCCGAAUACUUACUGGUCUCUAGUUUUAUGUGACUUUUAAGAUCUGUGUGGGCAUUUUUUAUAUUGGCAUUUGUACAUCACUAGGAAUUUGUCCUUUUAUGUAGAGGUUCACAUGUAUUUGCAUAUAGUUCAUAAUACC